Haliotis rubra (blacklip abalone) is the source of this 1084-nucleotide long non-coding RNA. RefSeq lists it as uncharacterized. Lineage: Eukaryota; Metazoa; Mollusca; Gastropoda; Lepetellida; Haliotidae. The transcript is spliced from 2 exons. The record is from RefSeq and is a predicted model, not a curated record.
UGGUGAUAAGGUUGGAUUCAAAACAACAAAGCUGUGUUCACUUCUUGUAGGUCAUGGUGAUAAGGUUGGAUUCAGAACAACAAGGCUGUGUUCACCUCUUGUAGGUCAUGGUGAUAAGGUUGGAUUCAGAACAAUAAGGCUGUGUUCACUUCUUGUAGGUCAUGGUGAUAAGGUUGGAUUCAGAACAACAAAGCUGUGUUCACUUCUUGUAGGUCAUGGUGAUAAGGUUGGAUUCAAAACAACAAAGCUGUGUUCACUUCUUGUAGGUCAUGGUGAUAAGGUUGGAUUCAGAACAACAAAGCUGUGUUCACUUCUUGUAGGUAAGUCAAAUUAAGUUAUUCUUCGGAGACAUGUUUUCAAGGGUUCACAUUCUGAAGAGCUUGCUUUAAAAGAUGAGAUAAAUUGAAAGUUUGCUGGCUAAAAAAACAAUCGUUGAAGUUGAGUUACUUUGCAGACAAAAGUUUUCCGGAUAUUCUAGUUAAAUCAUAAUAUAAGGGUUUUGAAAGUUGUUAUUGGAGUUGUAACAUUUCACUAGCAAAGACUACCGGUAGUAAUUAACAAGUUCCUUUGAGUCCUGAAGGAGGACAAUAUGACUUGACUGUCACUUAGUCCUUUUUUACUAAUUGAUAAUAUUCUCUCAGUUGUAAAGACUUAUUAAGUCACGCUUAUAAUAGGGCUAAAUUGAGAUUCCCCCCUCAGGGUCUUUGUAACGACUGCUGUCAAUAGUAUACAAGCAAAUAAGUAAUGUCAUAAUGAUGCUCUGGAAAACUUAUUAAUGUCUGAAAACAAAAGGACAAUAUCCCCCCAAAUAGUAUAUGCCUAUUGUACCCAUAAUAUCCUGUAAAAUGGAAUUAUUUCUCAAAACCAUGAGGAAUCAUUUCACUUAAUUACUUGAUUCAAUUUGAUCUUUUCAGAGACUAUAACAAACUCUCAGAGAGUAACAGAAAGCGAGGUCUACCUCGAGAUGGGAAAAUACCUAAAGAAACGCCCCUGGACGAUGUGGCGGGGGUGGCAGAUCAAAAGAAGACUGAUGCCCCAAAUUUGUAUUUAUAUUGAAAUGAAAUGAAUAAACUAGAGUUUACAU